UGGGGAAUAUUGCACAAUGGGCGCAAGCCUGAUGCAGCCAUGCCGCGUGUAUGAAGAAGGCCUUCGGGUUGUAAAGUACUUUCAGCGGGGAGGAAGGGAGUAAAGUUAAUACCUUUGCUCAUUGACGUUACCCGCAGAAGAAGCACCGGCUAACUCCGUGCCAGCAGCCGCGGUAAUACGGAGGGUGCAAGCGUUAAUCGGAAUUACUGGGCGUAAAGCGCACGCAGGCGGUUUGUUAAGUCAGAUGUGAAAUCCCCGGGCUCAACCUGGGAACUGCAUAUGAUACUGGCAAGCUUGAGUCUCGUAGAGGGGGGUAGAAUUCCAGGUGUAGCGGUGAAAUGCGUAGAGAUCUGGAGGAAUACCGGUGGCGAAGGCGGCCCCCUGGACGAAGACUGACGCUCAGGUGCGAAAGCGUGGGGAGCAAACA
This 427-nucleotide ribosomal RNA is filed under the name uncultured bacterium. RNAcentral describes it as "partial 16S ribosomal RNA". It matches the Rfam family "Bacterial small subunit ribosomal RNA", at positions 355 to 774 of the family's 1533-position model. The record is from RNAcentral.